This 377-nucleotide small RNA is filed under the name Pan troglodytes (chimpanzee). Its description in RNAcentral is "processed transcript". Lineage: Eukaryota; Metazoa; Chordata; Mammalia; Primates; Hominidae. The record is from RNAcentral.
AGUCUCCGCGUCCCGCUCGCUGGGAGAGAGGUACCUCUCCUUUUCCCUCUCCCUUUCCCUAAGGAGUGGAGUCAACAUAUCAAUGGAGCAAGUCACAGUCGUCGAUGCCAGCUUCUUCUUGAAAUCUACCCAGAAUGGAAUCCUGACAAUGAUACAGGACACACAAUGGGUGAUCCAUUCAUGUUGCAGCAGUCUACAAAUCCAGCACCAGGAAUUCUGGGACCUCCACCUCCCUCAUUUCAUCUUGGGGGACCAGCAGUUGGACCAAGAGGAAAUCUGGGCUUUUAUUGAGAUGGAGACAAGAGAAGAUGCAAUGGCAAUGGUUGACCAUUGUUUGAAAAAAGCCCUUUGGUUUCAGGGGAGAUGUGUGAAGGUUG